Molecule: ribosomal RNA, 492 nt
Filed under: uncultured bacterium
Lineage: Bacteria
Description: partial 16S ribosomal RNA
Rfam family: Bacterial small subunit ribosomal RNA
Source: RNAcentral
AUUGAACGCUGGCGGCAUGCUUUACACAUGCAAGUCGAACGGUAACAGGUUAAGCUGACGAGUGGCGAACGGGUGAGUAAUGCAUCGGAACGUGCCCGGUCGUGGGGAUAACGCAGCGAAAGCUGCGCUAAUACCGCAUACGAUCUGAGGAUGAAAGCGGGGGACCGUAAGGCCUCGCGCGAUCGGAGCGGCCGAUGUCAGAUUAGGUAGUUGGUGGGGUAAAGGCUCACCAAGCCAACGAUCUGUAGCUGGUCUGAGAGGACGACCAGCCACACUGGGACUGGGACACGGCCCAGACUGCUACGGGAGGCAGCAGUGGGGAAUUUUGGACAAUGGGCGAAAGCCUGAUCCAGCAAUGCCGCGUGCAGGAAGAAGGCCUUCGGGUUGUAAACUGCUUUUGUACGGAGCGAAAAGGUCUCCUCUAAUACAGGGGGCUCAUGACGGUACCGUAAGAAUAAGCACCGGCUAACUACGUGCCAGCCGCCGCUGUAA